Long non-coding RNA from Calypte anna (Anna's hummingbird), 606 nucleotides. RefSeq lists it as uncharacterized. The transcript has 5 exons. The record is from RefSeq and is a predicted model, not a curated record. NCBI's taxonomy places the organism in Eukaryota, Metazoa, Chordata, Aves, Apodiformes, Trochilidae.
AUCAGAGAGUUUUCACCGCCGGGUGAUUCUGCUGCCUGUAUUUCGGGGUAGCCGGUCCUAUACUCGUGCAGUCUGCUCACACCAUUUUGUGGGUAAAACAAUGUGCCUGCCUUUCAGCAAGCCGCGGAAGUUCUAGGCAGCUCCAUGCAUGAAGCACCUUGUGAGAAUGAUUUGAGCAGGAUGGCAUUUUAGGAACAAAUGUGGAAGCCAACACUAGCCAUCUCUCUGCUGAAGGCAGGUUUGCAGCUUCUCCUAAUCCUCUCACCACUGGUAACUGCUGCCUGGUUUUUUGCAAGGCACCCAGAAGGAUGAGCUUUCAAAAGUUAACAGGCCAUGAAGGAGAGGCCCGGGGGGGGCAGGAAAAGGCUGGGCAAGGUCUCACCUAGUCAGUCUGUACUUCCUAAUCCUCUUCAAAAACCCAGAAAAUUUUGGAGGACUCAAUGUAUAAGAUGGAAAACUGUAGCAAGUUCUGUUACUGCUGAAGUCAGCAAGUUGAGCAUCUUAUCCAAACAAUUUGGAAGUGAAGCAGUUUCUUGUGAUGAUGACCACCAUGUCCUGCUGUCCAGGGACCAAGGUUUGGUGUGUAGGAACUGCAGGGAGACAAAG